Paralichthys olivaceus (Japanese flounder) is the source of this 274-nucleotide non-coding RNA. The record is from RefSeq and is a predicted model, not a curated record. NCBI's taxonomy places the organism in Eukaryota, Metazoa, Chordata, Actinopteri, Pleuronectiformes, Paralichthyidae.
CUGACGUGUGAUUUCCUGUAAAUGCAGAAAGGAGAAGCAGCUCAAAGUCCAAACUGAAGCUCAGACUCCAUUUUAAGUACAUGACGCAGACGAUUAAAACAAAGUGCUGAAUCUGACUGAAGAUGAGUGGUUAUGUGGAGGAAGAGGACAGAGCAGAGUCUCCAGAGUUCAGCUGUGUGUCUCUGAAGAGUAACCGGUCCAUGAAACAACCUCCAGCCUUCAGUAAUGAACCUGGACCCUCACACACAAAAGGUGAGGACCACAGACUGAGAGC